UUAAGCGACUAAGCGUACACGGUGGAUGCCCUGGCAGUCAGAGGCGAUGAAGGACGUGCUAAUCUGCGAAAAGCGUCGGUAAGGUGAUAUGAACCGUUAUAACCGGCGAUGUCCGAAUGGGGAAACCCAGUGCAAUUCGUUGCACUAUCGUUAACUGAAUACAUAGGUUAACGAGGCGAACCGGGGGAACUGAAACAUCUAAGUACCCCGAGGAAAAGAAAUCAACCGAGAUUCCCCCAGUAGCGGCGAGCGAACGGGGAGCAGCCCAGAGUCUGAAUCAGCUUGUGUGUUAGUGGAACGGUCUGGAAAGUCCGACGGUACAGGGUGAUAGUCCCGUACACCAAAAUGCACAGGUUGUGAACUCGAAGAGUAGGGCGGGACACGUGGUAUCCUGUCUGAAUAUGGGGGGACCAUCCUCCAAGGCUAAAUACUCCUGACUGACCGAUAGUGAACCAGUACCGUGAGGGAAAGGCGAAAAGAACCCCGGCGAGGGGAGUGAAAAAGAACCUGAAACCGUGUACGUACAAGCAGUGGGAGCACCUUCGGGUGUGACUGCGUACCUUUUGUAUAAUGGGUCAGCGACUUAUAUUCUGUAGCAAGGUUAACCGUAUAGGGGAGCCGCAGGGAAACCGAGUCUUAACUGGGCGUUAAGUUGCAGGGUAUAGACCCGAAACCCGGUGAUCUAGCCAUGGGCAGGUUGAAGGUUGGGUAACACUAACUGGAGGACCGAACCGACUAAUGUUGAAAAAUUAGCGGAUGACUUGUGGCUGGGGGUGAAAGGCCAAUCAAACCGGGAGAUAGCUGGUUCUCCCCGAAAGCUAUUUAGGUAGCGCCUCGUGAAUUCAUCUUCGGGGGUAGAGCACUGUUUCGGCUAGGGGGUCAUCCCGACUUACCAACCCGAUGCAAACUACGAAUACCGAAGAAUGUUAUCACGGGAGACACACGGCGGGUGCUAACGUCCGUCGUGAAGAGGGAAACAACCCAGACCGCCAGCUAAGGUCCCAAAGUCAUGGUUAAGUGGGAAACGAUGUGGGAAGGCACAGACAGCCAGGAUGUUGGCUUAGAAGCAGCCAUCAUUUAAAGAAAGCGUAAUAGCUCACUGGUCGAGUCGGCCUGCGCGGAAGAUGUAACGGGGCUAAACCAUGCACCGAAGCUGCGGCAGCGACACUAUGUGUUGUUGGGUAGGGGAGCGUUCUGUAAGCCUGCGAAGGUGACCUGUGAGGGUUGCUGGAGGUAUCAGAAGUGCGAAUGCUGACAUAAGUAACGAUAAAGCGGGUGAAAAGCCCGCUCGCCGGAAGACCAAGGGUUCCUGUCCAACGUUAAUCGGGGCAGGGUGAGUCGACCCCUAAGGCGAGGCCGAAAGGCGUAGUCGAUGGGAAACAGGUUAAUAUUCCUGUACUUGGUGUUACUGCGAAGGGGGGACGGAGAAGGCUAUGUUAGCCGGGCGACGGUUGUCCCGGUUUAAGCAUGUAGGCUGGUUAUCCAGGCAAAUCCGGAUAAUCAAGGCUGAGGUGUGAUGACGAGGCACUACGGUGCUGAAGUAACAAAUGCCCUGCUUCCAGGAAAAGCCUCUAAGCAUCAGGUAACAUCAAAUCGUACCCCAAACCGACACAGGUGGUCAGGUAGAGAAUACCAAGGCGCUUGAGAGAACUCGGGUGAAGGAACUAGGCAAAAUGGUGCCGUAACUUCGGGAGAAGGCACGCUGGUGUGUAGGUGAAGCCCCUGCGGGUGGAGCUGAGACCAGUCGAAGAUACCAGCUGGCUGCAACUGUUUAUUAAAAACACAGCACUGUGCAAACACGAAAGUGGACGUAUACGGUGUGACGCCUGCCCGGUGCCGGAAGGUUAAUUGAUGGGGUUAUCCGUAAGGAGAAGCUCUUGAUCGAAGCCCCGGUAAACGGCGGCCGUAACUAUAACGGUCCUAAGGUAGCGAAAUUCCUUGUCGGGUAAGUUCCGACCUGCACGAAUGGCGUAAUGAUGGCCAGGCUGUCUCCACCCGAGACUCAGUGAAAUUGAACUCGCUGUGAAGAUGCAGUGUACCCGCGGCAAGACGGAAAGACCCCGUGAACCUUUACUAUAGCUUGACACUGAACAUUGAGCCUUGAUGUGUAGGAUAGGUGGGAGGCUUUGAAGCGUGGACGCCAGUCUGCGUGGAGCCAACCUUGAAAUACCACCCUUUAAUGUUUGAUGUUCUAACGUUGGCCCCUUACCGGGGUUGCGGACAGUGUCUGGUGGGUAGUUUGACUGGGGCGGUCUCCUCCCAAAGCGUAACGGAGGAGCACGAAGGUUAGCUAAUCCUGGUCGGACAUCAGGAGGUUAGUGCAAUGGCAUAAGCUAGCUUGACUGCGAGCGUGACGGCGCGAGCAGGUGCGAAAGCAGGUCAUAGUGAUCCGGUGGUUCUGAAUGGAAGGGCCAUCGCUCAACGGAUAAAAGGUACUCCGGGGAUAACAGGCUGAUACCGCCCAAGAGUUCAUAUCGACGGCGGUGUUUGGCACCUCGAUGUCGGCUCAUCACAUCCUGGGGCUGAAGUAGGUCCCAAGGGUAUGGCUGUUCGCCAUUUAAAGUGGUACGCGAGCUGGGUUUAGAACGUCGUGAGACAGUUCGGUCCCUAUCUGCCGUGGGCGCUGGAGAAUUGAGGGGGGCUGCUCCUAGUACGAGAGGACCGGAGUGGACGCAUCACUGGUGUUCGGGUUGUCAUGCCAAUGGCACUGCCCGGUAGCUAAAUGCGGAAGAGAUAAGUGCUGAAAGCAUCUAAGCACGAAACUUGCCCCGAGAUGAGUUCUCCCUGAGACUUUAAGUCUCCUGAAGGAACGUUGAAGACGACGACGUUGAUAGGCCGGGUGUGUAAGCGCAGCGAUGCGUUGAGCUAACCGGUACUAAUGAACCGUGAGGCUUAACCUU
This 2900-nucleotide ribosomal RNA is filed under the name Klebsiella pneumoniae. RNAcentral's name for it is "bacterial LSU rRNA". It matches the Rfam family "Bacterial large subunit ribosomal RNA". RNAcentral also lists the same sequence under 1 other name. The record is from RNAcentral. Lineage: Bacteria; Pseudomonadati; Pseudomonadota; Gammaproteobacteria; Enterobacterales; Enterobacteriaceae.